GCGGGAGUAGGGGAGAUAUCCACAGAUGGAGAGGGAGGGAAGAGAUCGCGAAAACCCUUGUGGUACAAGGGUUUCCAUCACUCUUUGUCCUCGUCAUUCCCUGCCUCCGGUCCCUUCCCAAGCUGGACGUCGCCGGUUCGACCCCGGUCGCCCGCUCCA
This 159-nucleotide transfer RNA is filed under the name Deltaproteobacteria bacterium. RNAcentral's name for it is "tRNA-Gly". The record is from RNAcentral. Lineage: Bacteria; Pseudomonadati; Myxococcota; Myxococcia.